ACGUAGGAGACGAGCGUUAUCCGGAUUUACUGGGCGUAAAGAGCGUGUAGGAGGCAAUACAAGUUGGAUGUAAAAGCUCUCGGCUAAACUGAGAGAGGACGUUCAAGACUGUAGAGCUAGAGGAAGGCAGAGGUAGAUGGAACUCCGGGAGUAGUGGUAAAAUGCGUAGAUACCAGGAAGAACACCAGAGGCGAAAGCGAUCCACUGGAACGAAACCGACACUGAGACGCGAAAGCCAGGGUAGCAAACGG
This 251-nucleotide ribosomal RNA is filed under the name uncultured prokaryote. RNAcentral's name for it is "partial 16S rRNA". It matches the Rfam family "Bacterial small subunit ribosomal RNA", at positions 525 to 775 of the family's 1533-position model. The record is from RNAcentral.